This 465-nucleotide ribosomal RNA is filed under the name Vreelandella stevensii. RNAcentral's name for it is "partial 16S ribosomal RNA". It matches the Rfam family "Bacterial small subunit ribosomal RNA", at positions 338 to 795 of the family's 1533-position model. The record is from RNAcentral. Lineage: Bacteria; Pseudomonadati; Pseudomonadota; Gammaproteobacteria; Oceanospirillales; Halomonadaceae.
CCUACGGGGGGCUGCAGUGGGGAAUAUUGGACAAUGGGGGCAACCCUGAUCCAGCCAUGCCGCGUGUGUGAAGAAGGCCCUCGGGUUGUAAAGCACUUUCAGUGAGGAAGAACGCCUGGUGGUUAAUACCCAUCAGGAAAGACAUCACUCACAGAAGAAGCACCGGCUAACUCCGUGCCAGCAGCCGCGGUAAUACGGAGGGUGCGAGCGUUAAUCGGAAUUACUGGGCGUAAAGCGCGCGUAGGUGGCUUGAUAAGCCGGUUGUGAAAGCCCCGGGCUCAACCUGGGAACGGCAUCCGGAACUGUCAAGCUAGAGUGCAGGAGAGGAAGGUAGAAUUCCCGGUGUAGCGGUGAAAUGCGUAGAGAUCGGGAGGAAUACCAGUGGCGAAGGCGGCCUUCUGGACUGACACUGACACUGAGGUGCGAAAGCGUCGGUAGCAAACAGGAUUAGAUACCCUAGUAGUC